This 214-nucleotide long non-coding RNA is filed under the name Elaeis guineensis (African oil palm). RNAcentral describes it as "long non-coding RNA (EGUI_LNC012699)". Lineage: Eukaryota; Viridiplantae; Streptophyta; Magnoliopsida; Arecales; Arecaceae. The record is from RNAcentral.
AGAUUUUAGAGAAAGGGAAAAAGAGAGAAAGGUUCUCUCUUCUUCUAGUUUUCUUCUUCCUCCUCUUCCUUCUAUUUUUCUCCUCCUCUUCUCCUUGUUCUCUGAGAGGGUCUUAGAGAGUUGAAAAGGGUCUUCAAUCAGCCAUUAAGGAGGCAUCUUCUGUAAGAGAGCUAGCACCCCGAUGAAGAUAAAGACUUCUGAUCGGAUCAAAGAC